Mesoplodon densirostris (Blainville's beaked whale) is the source of this 1009-nucleotide long non-coding RNA. RefSeq lists it as uncharacterized. The record is from RefSeq and is a predicted model, not a curated record. Lineage: Eukaryota; Metazoa; Chordata; Mammalia; Artiodactyla; Ziphiidae. The transcript is spliced from 3 exons.
GUGGGGAUCGCCUGCACCGGUUCCCUAGAGACUCUGGCUGGCGGUGACUGAGAUGCGCGGCUCCCAGGCUGGCGCGCACCCUCUCACCGGGGACCCACUGCCACCGCGCUGGGUCGCCCCCGCCCCCCUCCCCGGGACGCCGCCGCCGCCGCACCGGAGAACUUACCAGGUUGACCGGGAUAUACAAAAAGAAAACAGAUCAGCCUCUUUCCUGAUAAGAAGAGUAACCAAGAAGGCCAUCUGCAAGAACUAAGUCGUGCACUUGAAAAGACUGGGCGUUCUGCCAUGGUUGGAUACAGUGUUCUAUUUAUGUCAAUUAGGUCAAGUUGGUCGAUAACGUCCUUACUGAUUUUCAUCUACUUAUUCUCUCAAUUACUGAGACUGGAAUGUUAAAAUCCCCAAACAUAAUUGGUGUACUGGGUUGAAUGGUGUUCUCCCCCAAAUCCAUGUCUAUCUAGAAUCUGUGAAUGUAACCUUAUUUAAAAAUAGGGUCUUUGCAUGUGUAAUCAAGUUAAGAUAAGGUCCAUCCUACUGGAAAAGAGUGGGCCCUUAUCCAUUGACUGAUGUCCCUAUAAGACUAAGGAAAUUUGGACACAGACACAAAAGGAAGGCGGCCAUGUGAAGAUGGAGGCGGAGACUGGAGAUAUGAAGCCAGAAGCUGAGGAAUGUCGGCUGGCAAUCACCAAAUGCUUUAAAUGGCAAGAAACACUCCUUCCCUAAGCCCUUCCGAGAGCAUGGCCCUGCCAACACGUUGAUUUCAGACUUCUAGCCUUUAGAACUGUAAGACAAUGAAUUUCUGCUGUAUUAAGCUCCCCCCACCUGCACCCGAAAGGAUGUUAGGACACUGUAAUAGUUACUUUGACAGAUUUCUCUGGAAUGUUUUAAAGUUUUUAGAAAGCAAAAAUGCUCCACCAUGUUAUUGAUAACAAACAAGAAAUAGAUGCUUUAGCUAGCAUGGUCUUAACUAAUAUUUUUGGGUAUAUGAAUAGGGUUAUGAAAUAGAGAUUUU